Molecule: transfer RNA, 130 nt
Filed under: Bradyrhizobium sp. CSA207
Lineage: Bacteria; Pseudomonadati; Pseudomonadota; Alphaproteobacteria; Hyphomicrobiales; Nitrobacteraceae
Description: tRNA-OTHER
Source: RNAcentral
GCGGGCAUCGCCAAGGUGAAGGGAUAGUCCAGACCACGAACGCCGGAUCGGCGGCGGCGAAAGCCGAAGUGGUAUGAAAAUCCGUGGGGCCGCAAGGCCUGUGCCGGUUCGAGUCCGGCCGCCCGCACCA